RNAcentral lists this long non-coding RNA (617 nucleotides) under Equus caballus (horse). RNAcentral describes it as "lncRNA (ENSECAG00000048789.1)". The record is from RNAcentral. Lineage: Eukaryota; Metazoa; Chordata; Mammalia; Perissodactyla; Equidae.
CACAUGGGGUACGUGAGGACAGCAGCCAGGUCUCUCUGCUCUUCAGGGAAGUGAGAUGACUCACCAGCUCAGAGGACUGGCAGAGCGCAAGGCGUUUUCUGGUGUGCCCAGCUCCAAGAAUUGCACCUGGCACAGAGGAGGCACUCACUGAAUGGUUGCUGAGCGAAUGGAUACGUUAGUAGGAAGCAGUUUUUAUACAUUUUGUGAUCCAUUCACAGGCUUGUGGCAGAUGAAUAAUGUCUGUAAGAUUGCAGAGGAGAGGAGACUGAAUCAGAGAGGAGACUGACCCUAACUCCAGGCUUCGGUGCAAAACCCUCCUGUUAGGGGAUUGGCAGAGUCCCUCAAAAUCACGUUUAAAUCGCUCUGCAGAGCGCGGUGCAGAGCGCCAUCUGCUGGACAAAACAUAAAAAACUGAGUUUGUUCUAAGAUCCUGGAGGAUUGCUUCAAAGCAGCUUUUCUUGGAAAAGAGCAGCAGGUGGAGAAACUGAGGCUCAGAUUUACACGUCUAAUGCAUUGGACACGGGGACUGUGAAACCAGGUCUCUCUUCAGCACGCACCAUGCUUUCUCUAGCCCUCUUUAUCACCAGAUAAUGAGUCCAUUAUUAUUUUCUUUUUAC